ACCUGGGUGGCUCACUGGGUUGAGUGCCUGACUUUGGCUCAGGUCAUGAUCUCACAGUUCAUGGGUUUGAGCCCCAUGCCAGGCU
RNAcentral lists this transfer RNA (85 nucleotides) under Felis catus (domestic cat). It matches the Rfam family "tRNA". Rfam says of the family: Transfer RNA (tRNA) molecules are approximately 80 nucleotides in length. Their secondary structure includes four short double-helical elements and three loops (D, anti-codon, and T loops). Further hydrogen bonds mediate the characteristic L-shaped molecular structure. tRNAs have two regions of fundamental functional importance: the anti-codon, which is responsible for specific mRNA codon recognition, and the 3' end, to which the tRNAs corresponding amino acid is attached (by aminoacyl-tRNA synthetases). tRNAs cope with the degeneracy of the genetic code in two manners: having more than one tRNA (with a specific anti-codon) for a particular amino acid; and 'wobble' base-pairing, i.e. permitting non-standard base-pairing at the 3rd anti-codon position. The record is from Rfam by way of RNAcentral. Lineage: Eukaryota; Metazoa; Chordata; Mammalia; Carnivora; Felidae.